UGACUAAACUUCGCAGACCCAAUAGGGGUUUGGUGGGCCUUCAGAAGUCUAAACGUAGCUCUGUUGGUGAGAGUCUCUUUGAUAUGAUGUAUCCCUGUCAUGUGAUUGUGGCUAAAUGUUGAGGUUAGCCACAUGAAUCUAAUCUCCCAAGUCUAAAUGUAGCAAAGCGAGAUUAGAUUAUUUUGUUUUAGUGUCUUAAUUUCACCCAGUCUAAACGUAGCAAGGUGAAGUUAAGUUGUCUUGUAUUAAUUGGCUAGCCACAUGAAUCUAAUCUCCCAAGUCUAAACGUAGCAAAGCGAGAUUAGAUUAUUUUGUUUUAUUGUCUUAAUUUCACCCAGUCUAAACGUAGCAAGGUGAAGUUAAGUUGUCUUGUAUUAAUUGGCUAGCCACAUGAAUCUAAUCUCCCAAGUCUAAACGUAGCAAAGCGAGAUUAGAUUAUUUUGUUUUAUUGUCUUAAUUUCACCCAGUCUAAACGUAGCAAGGUGAAGUUAAGUUGUCUUGUAUUAACUGUUUAAACUCAUAGGUUAAACGUAGCACUUGAGUAAGAUGUAUUGUGUUAAAAUUGCAUAACUGUGUGUAUAUGGUUUAAAGUUUGAUAAACUGUGACAUCAUUUGAGAAGAGAUUUUUGUGUAAACUCCAGUUGUCAGUCAGUAUACAGACUGAAAAUUGUGACCUUUCGAUCUCUCAAAAGGUGAUACAGUGAGUGUAUACAUUUGGUGUUUCAAAGUACAAGUAACAGAAAUGAGGUUGAAUCAUGGCAAGCAGCUUGAUCAUGGAGAUAGUAUACC
Non-coding RNA from Pelobates cultripes (western spadefoot toad), 789 nucleotides. The record is from the annotation of a GenBank genome assembly. NCBI's taxonomy places the organism in Eukaryota, Metazoa, Chordata, Amphibia, Anura, Pelobatidae.